This 422-nucleotide ribosomal RNA is filed under the name uncultured bacterium. RNAcentral's name for it is "partial 16S ribosomal RNA". It matches the Rfam family "Bacterial small subunit ribosomal RNA", at positions 359 to 773 of the family's 1533-position model. The record is from RNAcentral.
GAUCUUGCGCAAUGGCCGAAAGGCUGACGCAGCGACGCCGCGUGCGGGAGGACGCCCCUCGGGGUGUAAACCGCCGUCAGGGGGGACGAACCCCCCGCAUGGGUAUACUGUGCUGGGCUGACGGUUCCCCCUGGGGAAGCGCCGGCGAACCCAGUUCCAUCAGCCGCGGUAAGACGGAGGGCGCGAGCGUUGUUCGGAAUUAACGGGCGUAAAGGGCGCGCAGGCGGACGGGCAAGUCGGAAGUGAAAUCCCGGGGCUCAACUCCGGGACUGCUUCCGAUACUGCUUGUCUAGGGACCGGUAGAGGCUGGUGGAAUUCCCGGUGUAGCGGUGGAAUGCGUAGAUAUCGGGAAGAACACCCGUGGCGAAGGCGGCCAGCUGGGCCGGAUCCGACGCUGAGGCGCGAAAGCGUGGGGAGCAAAC